This 502-nucleotide ribosomal RNA is filed under the name uncultured bacterium. RNAcentral describes it as "bacterial SSU rRNA". It matches the Rfam family "Bacterial small subunit ribosomal RNA", at positions 899 to 1397 of the family's 1533-position model. The record is from RNAcentral.
ACUCAAAGGAAUUGACGGGGGCCCGCACAAGCGGUGGAACAUGUGGUUUAAUUCGACGCAACGCGAAGAACCUUACCAGCUUUUGACAUGGGUAGUAUGGGGUAGAGAGAUUUACUCCUUCAGUUCGGCUGGCUACCACACAGGUGCUGCAUGGCUGUCGUCAGCUCGUGUCGUGAGAUGUUGGGUUAAGUCCCGCAACGAGCGCAACCCUCACCUUUAGUUGCCAACAGGUUAAGCUGGGCACUCUAGAGGAACUGCCGGUGACAAGCCGGAGGAAGGUGGGGAUGACGUCAAGUCCUCAUGGCCCUUACAGGCUGGGCUACACACGUGUUACAAUGGCGACUACAGAGGGAAGCUAACCUGCGAGGGUGUGCGAAUCUCAAAAAGUCGUCUCAGUUCGGAUUGUACUCUGCAACUCGAGUGCAUGAAGUUGGAAUCGCUAGUAAUCGUGGAUCAGCAUGCCACGGUGAAUACGUUCCCGGGCCUUGUACACACCGCCCGU